CUCGGCAUCAGCGUGCUCCGGGC
Molecule: non-coding RNA, 23 nt
Filed under: Arabidopsis thaliana (thale cress)
Lineage: Eukaryota; Viridiplantae; Streptophyta; Magnoliopsida; Brassicales; Brassicaceae
Source: RNAcentral